RNAcentral lists this ribosomal RNA (489 nucleotides) under uncultured bacterium. RNAcentral describes it as "partial 16S ribosomal RNA". It matches the Rfam family "Bacterial small subunit ribosomal RNA", at positions 28 to 507 of the family's 1533-position model. The record is from RNAcentral.
GAUGAACGCUGGCGGCGUGCUUAACACAUGCAAGUCGAACGGAAAGGCCCCCACCUUGGUUGUGUUGCUUUAGUGGCGAACGGGUGAGUAACACGUGGGUGAUCUGCCCUUUAGUUUGGGAUAAGUUUGGGAAACUGGGUCUAAUACCGGAUAGUACCUUGAAUUAGUGUCUCAUGGUGUAAAAAUCAUUGUUUUUGUGCCGGAUGAGCUCGCGGCCUAUCAGUUGGUUGGUUGGGUAGUUGCCUACCUACCCGUCGACCGGUAGCCGGCCUGCGAGGGUGGACGGCCAGAUAGGGAGAGAGGUACCGCCCAGCCACCGACGGGAGGAAGAGGUGGGGAACAUUGCAGAAUGAGCGCAAGCCUGAUGAAGGGCGGCCGAGUGAGGGAGGACGGCCUACGGGUUGUAAACGCCUUUCGUUAGGAACGAAGCCACACCUUUUUUGGGUGUGGUGAAGGUAACUUUGUCAAGAAGCACCGGCUAACUACGUG